UACGUAGGGGGCAAGCGUUGUCCGGAUUUAUUGGGCGUAAAGCGCUCGCAGGUGGUUCGUUGCGUCGUGCGUGAAAGACCCUGGCUCAACUGGGGGAUGUCGUGCGAUACGGGCGAACUGGAGGCCAGUAGGGGGAUGCGGAAUUCCGGGUGUAGUGGUGGAAUGCGUAGAGAUCCGGAGGAACACCAGCGGCGAAGGCGGCAUCCUGGACUGGUCCUGACACUCAGGGGCGAAAGCGUGGGGAGCGAUCCGG
Molecule: ribosomal RNA, 253 nt
Filed under: uncultured bacterium
Lineage: Bacteria
Description: partial 16S ribosomal RNA
Rfam family: Bacterial small subunit ribosomal RNA
Source: RNAcentral